RNAcentral lists this long non-coding RNA (1239 nucleotides) under Apteryx haastii (Great spotted kiwi). Its description in RNAcentral is "lncRNA (ENSAHAG00000002192.1)". The record is from RNAcentral. Lineage: Eukaryota; Metazoa; Chordata; Aves; Apterygiformes; Apterygidae.
CGAGCUGGGGAAGGCAGAGCCGGCGAGGAGGAGGAGGAGGAGGAAGGAGAGGGAGGGAGGACACGUCUCCUACGAGCGCGCUGAAUUAUUCAUCCCGCGGGCAGGGGGGCCGAGGCCGAGGCUAAUGAGCCCUCGGGGAGCUGAGCAGGGGGGUUUCAAACGCGCCCGCCGGGCGCCGAUUAACCCCUUCCCCGCCGGGCGGGACGGUGCGGCCACCUGGGACGCGGGGCGCUCGGCGCCGCGGCCACCUCCGUGCCUCAGUUUCCCCAACAGAUGCCGGGAGGGCAGGCUGGGGUGAAGCACCCCAUUUUGGGCCCUGUCUGGACGGUUCACACCAGUGCAUGGGACCCUUGGGGGAGGCGGGUGGGAGACCCCCCCCCCCGGCCGGCGUGGGGCCCUUGGGCUCCCAGUCCUGCCCCAUGGGACGGGGACGAAGCCGCUCCGGGGCUGGCGUCACCACGCAGGGACAUGGGGGACGUUCGCAGGGACGGACCCGCAGGCACAGGGUCCCCAAGACGCCCCCUGCCCUUGGGGGCCGGGCCCCCACGGCCGCCUCGGGGCGCGCAUGGGUCUCCGCGAUUUUCCCCGUGGAAAUUUCCAGCAGCAGCAAACUUCCCUGCAGGCAGAGCGAGGGCACGCGGCUGCGGAUCCCCCCAGCCCUGGCGGAAGCAGGCGUCAGCCCGGGCUCCCCUCCCCGUGAAAGGCGCCUCCAACUUGGCUUUCAAAACUUUCCGACCUUGGCAGAUCCGUGGGAGAGGAGGGCGAGCGCCCGCCCCAGCCCGACACUGCGCCAGCCGCUGGCGCCGAGCCCCAUGCCAAGCUGGCCCCGGUGCACGGUGCUGUACACACCGGCAGCGGGAGGAAGCCGGGCCCUGCCCCAUGUCCCCCCACCGCGUUGUCCCAGCCAGAGGGGACGCGGACCCUGGCGGUGCCGUUGGGCCUCCGAGGGGGUGGGGGCCGGCGCCAGCCCCYGGAUCUGCAGGUGCUCCAACGGCCGUGGGUGGCCCCAGGCCAGGAGCGGCAGCUCCAGCAAAAUAUUUACCUGAGUGGCACCGUGCCACCGGCUGCCUGCCUGCCUGCUCUGCCCAGCAGGGCGAAGCACGAUGCCGCACGGCUCUGCACGGCUCUGCACUGCUCUGCGUGGCUUUGCGUGGCCACACACGGCAAAGCACCGUUGUGUGUGCACGGCAAAACACGGCUCUGCANNNNNNNNNNNNNNNNNNNNNNNNNNNNNNNNNN